GGGAAGGCAGGGGCGCUAGAUGUACCCACUCACCUCAGUACGUGGGAGGCAGCCGUGGGAGGUGGUGUGUCUGUGAUUGUGAGGUGGAGGUGUUGCCUGCUGCCCAAAGUUUGUUGAAAAUGCAUCCUCUCCACACACUGCCUGGUGGUGGUGGUGAUAAUGGGAGCAGGAAGGAGGCGGUGACAAGUUUGAGGGUGCAAGAGAACUUCUAAAACCAAACCGUGAAAGACAUGCAGCCCUGAAAUGAGAACUUCAGGAGUCCACCACAGAAAAACUGACAGGGAAGUGUCACCACCACCUGUCAUGGCUGCAGCUACAGAUUGACUAAAAUGGCCUGCCUCAAGACACCCCAGCUCACUACUCAAAACAAGGAUAAAAGUUUGCCUGCAUCAAGACACCCCAGCUCACUACUCAAAACAAGGAUAAAAGUUUCUCAUAGGAAAAUAUGGACUGAUACAACAGUUUCCAGAGUACAUCAGUUGGGCUGGCAUAUUUGAGG
Long non-coding RNA from Portunus trituberculatus (swimming crab), 499 nucleotides. RefSeq lists it as uncharacterized. The transcript has 3 exons. Lineage: Eukaryota; Metazoa; Arthropoda; Malacostraca; Decapoda; Portunidae. The record is from RefSeq and is a predicted model, not a curated record.